AAAAACACCACUCGAUUUAUGAGCAGGAUGAUGCAUUUGUGCAUGCUUAUAUGAUAUGGUGACGGGUGAUUACCAACUGAAAGAGAUAUGAGCCAAACGGUUGUUAAUUACCUUCCCCACAUACUGCAAUGCUUGAAGAUGGUUCCUUGAAAGAAUAGGCAUUUAUGGCAGAAUACUAAGGAAGAAGAAGGAGAAGGAGGGGAGGUAAUGAGGGUCUCUUUCCUAGAAGAAUAAAACCUUUAAG
Molecule: unclassified non-coding RNA, 244 nt
Filed under: Hevea brasiliensis (rubber tree)
Lineage: Eukaryota; Viridiplantae; Streptophyta; Magnoliopsida; Malpighiales; Euphorbiaceae
Source: RNAcentral